AGGACGAACGCUGGCGGCGUGCCUAACACAUGCAAGUCGAACGCGCUCCAUUCGGUAGCAAUACUGAUGAAGAGCGAGUGGCGAACGGGUGAGUAGCACGUGAGCAACCUGCCCCGAAGACCGGGACAACACCGGGAAACCGGUGCUAAUACCGGAUAUCCCUAUCGGACCGCAUGAUCUGAUAAGGAAAUGGAUUCCGCUUCGGGAGGGGCUCGCGGCCUAUCAGCUAGUUGGUGAGGUAACGGCCCACCAAGGCAUCGACGGGUAGCUGGUCUGAGAGGACGAUCAGCCACACUGGGACUGAGACACGGCCCAGACUCCUACGGGAGGCAGCAGUGGGGAAUCUUGCGCAAUGGGCGAAAGCCUGACGCAGCAACGCCGCGUGGAGGACGAAGGCUUUCUGAGUUGUAAACUCCUUUCAGCAGGGACGAUAGUGACGGUACCUGCAGAAGAAGCACCGGCCAACUACGUGCCAGCAGCCGCGGUAAC
RNAcentral lists this ribosomal RNA (489 nucleotides) under uncultured bacterium. RNAcentral's name for it is "SSU rRNA". It matches the Rfam family "Bacterial small subunit ribosomal RNA", at positions 26 to 524 of the family's 1533-position model. The record is from RNAcentral.